AGUGAGAGGAAAGUGUAGAGAUUUGAGAGAGAAAGAAGAGAUUAGAGUGAGAAGAUGCAUUAAUUGCAUAUAUUCUCUAAGAUUUUCAAAUCUUAGCCAAGAUCAAUUUCAUAUCUUGCAAAUAUUUCUCUCACCUUUCCUCCACCCCAUUUUCGAUCUCUCUCCCUCUCCCUCAUCUCUCACUUCACUUUCCACCAUUUUUCCUCCAUUGAUGCACCUUCGGAGCUUCACAAAAUCACACCAAAAACACAAAUCACCCUCUAAAUCUUACACUAAACACUUCCAUCUCCUUAGAUUCAAGAAGAUCCAUGGAGAUUCAAUCUUGAAGUUAGAAAGAGAAAGUUUGGUUUUGGGUGUAAGUUUGGACACGAGCAGAGCAGGGAAGUAAGUAACUCCGCUUUGACGGGAGUUUUUGAGUAAGGUCUUCAGGCUAAGCGAGGAGUGAGAUUGGUCUGGUGCUGGUGGGGGAUCGUUAGAUGACGUAUUUACUUUAUCGUAUUUUUCUUUUUAUCGAUA
Molecule: long non-coding RNA, 516 nt
Organism: Salvia miltiorrhiza (redroot sage)
Lineage: Eukaryota; Viridiplantae; Streptophyta; Magnoliopsida; Lamiales; Lamiaceae
Exons: 3
Source: RefSeq, a predicted model, not a curated record